UCCCUUGUGGCUUAGAUGGUAAAGAAUCUGCCUGUAAUGCAGGAGACCUGGGUUCAAUCCCUGGAUCAGGAA
Transfer RNA from Ovis aries (sheep), 72 nucleotides. It matches the Rfam family "tRNA". Rfam says of the family: Transfer RNA (tRNA) molecules are approximately 80 nucleotides in length. Their secondary structure includes four short double-helical elements and three loops (D, anti-codon, and T loops). Further hydrogen bonds mediate the characteristic L-shaped molecular structure. tRNAs have two regions of fundamental functional importance: the anti-codon, which is responsible for specific mRNA codon recognition, and the 3' end, to which the tRNAs corresponding amino acid is attached (by aminoacyl-tRNA synthetases). tRNAs cope with the degeneracy of the genetic code in two manners: having more than one tRNA (with a specific anti-codon) for a particular amino acid; and 'wobble' base-pairing, i.e. permitting non-standard base-pairing at the 3rd anti-codon position. Lineage: Eukaryota; Metazoa; Chordata; Mammalia; Artiodactyla; Bovidae. The record is from Rfam.